UACGGAGGGUGCAAGCGUUAUCCGGAUUUAUUGGGUUUAAAGGGUGCGUAGGCGGGUUUGUAAGUCAGUGGUGAAAGCCUUCAGCUUAACUGGAGAAUUGCCAUUGAUACUGCAGACCUUGAAUUCGGUUGAAGUGGGCGGAAUGUGUGGUGUAGCGGUGAAAUGCAUAGAUAUCACACAGAACACCAAUUGCGAAGGCAGCUCACUAAGCCGAUAUUGACGCUGAGGCACGAAAGCGUGGGGAGCGAACAGGAUUAGAUACCCUGGUAGUCCACGCUGUAAACGAUGAUAACUCGCUGUUGGCGAUACACAGUCAGCGGCCUAGCGAAAGCGUUAAGUUAUCCACCUGGGGAGUACGAUCGCAAGGUUG
This 370-nucleotide ribosomal RNA is filed under the name uncultured prokaryote. RNAcentral describes it as "bacterial SSU rRNA". It matches the Rfam family "Bacterial small subunit ribosomal RNA", at positions 524 to 896 of the family's 1533-position model. The record is from RNAcentral.